GUAGCUUGCUACCGAUCUUAGCGGCGGACGGGUGAGUAAUGCUUAGGAAUCUGCCUAUUAGUGGGGGACAACAUUUCGAAAGGAAUGCUAAUACCGCAUACGUCCUACGGGAGAAAGCAGGGGAUCUUCGGACCUUGCGCUAAUAGAUGAGCCUAAGUCGGAUUAGCUAGUUGGUGGGGUAAAGGCCUACCAAGGCGACGAUCUGUAGCGGGUCUGAGAGGAUGAUCCGCCACACUGGGACUGAGACACGGCCCAGACUCCUACGGGAGGCAGCAGUGGGGAAUAUUGGACAAUGGGCGCAAGCCUGAUCCAGCCAUGCCGCGUGUGUGAAGAAGGCCUUAUGGUUGUAAAGCACUUUAAGCGAGGAGGAGGCUACUUUAGUUAAUACCUAGAGAUAGUGGACGUUACUCGCAGAAUAAGCACCGGCUAACUCUGUGCCAGCAGCCGCGGUAAUACAGAGGGUGCAAGCGUUAAUCGGAUUUACUGGGCGUAAAGCGCGCGUAGGCGGCUAAUUAAGUCAAAUGUGAAAUCCCCGAGCUUAACUUGGGAAUUGCAUUCGAUACUGGUUAGCUAGAGUGUGGGAGAGGAUGGUAGAAUUCCAGGUGUAGCGGUGAAAUGCGUAGAGAUCUGGAGGAAUACCGAUGGCGAAGGCAGCCAUCUGGCCUAACACUGACGCUGAGGUGCGAAAGCAUGGGGAGCAAACAGGAUUAGAUACCCUGGUAGUCCAUGCCGUAAACGAUGUCUACUAGCCGUUGGGGCCUUUGAGGCUUUAGUGGCGCAGCUAACGCGAUAAGUAGACCGCCUGGGGGAGUACGGUCGCAAGACUAAAACUCAAAUGAAUUGACGGG
This 848-nucleotide ribosomal RNA is filed under the name Acinetobacter sp. RNAcentral's name for it is "bacterial SSU rRNA". It matches the Rfam family "Bacterial small subunit ribosomal RNA", at positions 75 to 917 of the family's 1533-position model. Lineage: Bacteria; Pseudomonadati; Pseudomonadota; Gammaproteobacteria; Moraxellales; Moraxellaceae. The record is from RNAcentral.